UCUCCGCUUUAUCUCAAAAAGAGAGAAACCAUCUAUCUCUUCCUUUGUAACUAUCGAUUUUUCAUCUUCUGCAAUUUCUAUCUCUCUCUCUUGCUAACAUCACUUUAUUCUCAAUAACUCUCACUUUCACAAUCGACCCUCUUUCUGUUCCACUCCCGACGGCGGCAUAUAAUGGGCAACCGAUCUAAUAGCGAAAUUCUUAAUCAAGUCCAGUUGUCCACCAUGUACUCUAUCUGAUCCACCUUACCCCUCCGUAGGCGACCAACACAGUGGUCUAGUUUCGGAGACCCUCUACCCGAGCUUGUAGAUCCAAAACCCAUGAGGUAGCCACAAGUCAGAGAGUAGAGAAAGACAAGAUUGAAGUCUCUCCAACCAGCUUUGAAGUCCCGAGGAAGCCACAAGUCAGAGAUUAGAGAAAGAACAAAUUGAAGACUCUCCAACCGAGUAUAUGCUUAUGGACCAGAUGUGUUAUGAUUAUUUGUUUCUUCUUCCAAUUAAUCAUUAAUCUUGGUAGCGAUGGACCAUUUGUCAUUUGUUAGUGAUGGACCAUCGAUGGACUAUUUGCAUAAAUAGACAUGUAUCUGAUGGACCAAUGUAAAUGACUUGUCUUUAAUAGACCAUUCAUAACAUAAUUUCAAUUUUGUCUAUUA
Molecule: long non-coding RNA, 650 nt
Organism: Camelina sativa (false flax)
Lineage: Eukaryota; Viridiplantae; Streptophyta; Magnoliopsida; Brassicales; Brassicaceae
Source: RefSeq, a predicted model, not a curated record